Molecule: ribosomal RNA, 896 nt
Filed under: uncultured bacterium
Lineage: Bacteria
Description: bacterial SSU rRNA
Rfam family: Bacterial small subunit ribosomal RNA
Source: RNAcentral
AGAGUUUGAUCAUGGCUCAGGACGAACGCUGGCGGCAUGCCUAACACAUGCAAGUCGAACGGAGUUAAAGAGCUUGCUCUUUAACUUAGUGGCGAACGGGUGAGUAACGCGUGAGCAACCUGCCUUCAAAACUGGGAUAACACAGAGAAAUUUGUGCUAAUACCGGAUAAGACCACAGUACCGCAUGGUACAGGGGUAAAAACUCAGGUGAUUGAAGAGGGGCUCGCGACCCAUUAGCUAGUUGGCGGGAUAACAGCCCACCAAGGCAACGAUGGGUAGCCGACUUGAGAGAGUGAUCGGCCACACUGGAACUGAGACACGGUCCAGACUCCUACGGGAGGCAGCAGUGGGGAAUAUUGGGCAAUGGAGGAAACUCUUACCCAGCAAUGCCGCGUGAGUGAAGAAGGUCGUAAGAUUGUAAAGCUCUUUAAUUGGGGACGAAUAAAAUGACGGUACCCAAGGAAUAAGCCCCGGCUAACUACGUGCCAGCAGCCGCGGUAAUACGUAGGGGGCAAGCGUUGUCCGGAAUGACUGGGCGUAAAGGGUGUGUAGGUGGUUGUCUAAGUUGGAAGUGUAAUACCCAGGGCUUAACCCGGGUGCUGCUUCCAAGACUGGAUGACUUGAGUGCAGGAGAGGAAAGCGGAAUUCCUAGUGUAGCGGUGGAAUGCGUAGAUAUUAGGAGGAACACCAGAGGCGAAGGCGGCUUUCUGGACUGUAACUGACACUGAGGCACGAAAGCGUGGGGAGCAAACAGGAUUAGAUACCCUGGUAGUCCACGCUGUAAACGAUGGAUACUAGGUGUAGGGGGUAUCGACUCCCCCUGCACCGCAGUAAACACAAUAAGUAUCCCGCCUGGGGAGUACGGCCGCAAGGUUGAAACUCAAAUGAAUUGACGG